UGGGGAAUAUUGCACAAUGGGGGAAACCCUGAUGCAGCGACGCCGCGUGAGCGAAGAAGGCCUUCGGGUCGUAAAGCUCUUUUAUGAGGGAAGAUAAUGACGGUACCUCAAGAAAAAGCCCCGGCUAACUACGUGCCAGCAGCCGCGGUAAUACGUAGGGGGCUAGCGUUGUCCGGAAUCACUGGGCGUAAAGGGUUCGCAGGCGGAAUAACAAGUCAGAUGUGAAAGGCAUGGGCUCAACCCAUGUAAGCACUUGAAACUGUAAUUCUUGAGAAGUGGAGAGGUAAGUGGAAUUCCUAGUGUAGCGGUGAAAUGCGUAGAUAUUAGGAGGAAUACCUGUGGCGAAGGCGACUUACUGGACACAAAUCUGACGCUGAGGAACGAAAGCGUGGGUAGCAAACAGG
Molecule: ribosomal RNA, 404 nt
Filed under: Verrucomicrobiota bacterium
Lineage: Bacteria; Pseudomonadati; Verrucomicrobiota
Description: Verrucomicrobia bacterium partial 16S ribosomal RNA
Rfam family: Bacterial small subunit ribosomal RNA
Source: RNAcentral